CAGAAAUCUCGUGUGGAACAA
Molecule: small nuclear RNA, 21 nt
Filed under: Arabidopsis thaliana (thale cress)
Lineage: Eukaryota; Viridiplantae; Streptophyta; Magnoliopsida; Brassicales; Brassicaceae
Description: snRNA_16147
Source: RNAcentral